UGGGGAAUAUUGGACAAUGGGCGCAAGCCUGAUCCAGCCAUGCCGCGUGAGGGAUGAAGGCCCUAGGGUUGUAAAGCUCUUUCACCGGUGAAGAUAAUGACGGUAACCGGAGAAGAAGCCCCGGCUAACUUCGUGCCAGCAGCCGCGGUAAUACGAAGGGGGCUAGCGUUGUUCGGAUUUACUGGGCGUAAAGCGCACGUAGGCGGACUUUUAAGUCAGGGGUGAAAUCCCGGGGCUCAACCCCGGAACUGCCUUUGAUACUGGAAGUCUUGAGUAUGGUAGAGGUGAGUGGAAUUCCGAGUGUAGAGGUGAAAUUCGUAGAUAUUCGGAGGAACACCAGUGGCGAAGGCGGCUCACUGGACCAUUACUGACGCUGAGGUGCGAAAGCGUGGGGAUCAAACAGG
This 404-nucleotide ribosomal RNA is filed under the name Actinomycetes bacterium. Its description in RNAcentral is "Actinobacteria bacterium partial 16S ribosomal RNA". It matches the Rfam family "Bacterial small subunit ribosomal RNA", at positions 355 to 776 of the family's 1533-position model. The record is from RNAcentral. Lineage: Bacteria; Bacillati; Actinomycetota; Actinomycetes.